GGUGCCGUAGCCAAGUGGUAAGGUCAGAAGCUGCAACCUUCUUAUUCGCUGGUUCGAGUCCAGUCGGCACCUCCA
RNAcentral lists this transfer RNA (75 nucleotides) under Mycoplasmataceae bacterium. Its description in RNAcentral is "tRNA-Cys". It matches the Rfam family "tRNA". From Rfam's summary of the family: Transfer RNA (tRNA) molecules are approximately 80 nucleotides in length. Their secondary structure includes four short double-helical elements and three loops (D, anti-codon, and T loops). Lineage: Bacteria; Bacillati; Mycoplasmatota; Mollicutes; Mycoplasmatales; Mycoplasmataceae. The record is from RNAcentral.